This 1234-nucleotide long non-coding RNA is filed under the name Gallus gallus (chicken). RNAcentral's name for it is "lncRNA (ENSGALG00010000214.1)". The record is from RNAcentral. Lineage: Eukaryota; Metazoa; Chordata; Aves; Galliformes; Phasianidae.
AGGACCUUUAGGAUCACAGAUCUGUGAGAUCCUACAGUGGAUGGGGUGGAGGGGACCUUUAAGAUCAUACCAGAAUGGGAUCCCAAAAGAGUUGGGUUUUAUGGACGUGAAAGACCAUAGAACUGUGGGAUCCUACAAUGGUUGGGAUGGAGAGGACCUUUAGGAUCAUGGAACCAUGAGAUCCCACAAGGGUUGGGGUGGAAGGAAUCUCAAAGACCAUAACACCACAGGAUCCUACAAGGGUUGGGAUGGGAGGACCUUUAGGAUCAUGGAACCACGGGAUCCUACAAUGGUUGGGGUGGAGAGGACCUGUAGGAUUGUGGAACCACGGGAUCCUACAAUGGUUGGGGUGGAGGGAACCUUCAAGAUCAUAACACCACGGGAUCCUACAAGGGUUGGGGUGGAGAGGAUCUUUAGGAUCAUGGAACCACGGGAUCCUACAAUGGUUGGGGUGGAAGGAAUCUCAAAGACCAUAACACCACAGGAUCCUACAAGGGUUGGGAUGGGAGGACCUUUAGGAUCAUGGCACUGUGGGAUCCCACAAGGUUUGGGUUUUAAAGACCAUACAACCAUGAGAUCCUACAGUGGUUGGGUUGGGAGGAACCUUUAGGAUCAUGGAACCAUGGGAUCCUACAAUGGUUGGGGUGGGAGGACCUUUAGGAUUAUGGAACCAUGUGAUCCUAAAAGGGUUGCGGUGGGAGGACCUUUAGGAUCGUGGAACCACGGGAUCCUAAAAUGGUUGGGGUGGAAGGGACCUUGAAGACCGCAACACCACAGGAUCCUAAAAGGAUUGGGAUGGGAAGACCCUUAGGAUCAUGGCACUGUGGGAUCCCACAAGGUUUGGGUUUUAAAGACCAUACAACCAUGAGAUCCUACAGUGGUUGGGUUGGGAGGAAUCUUUAGGAUCAUGGAAAUAUGGGAUCCUACAAUGGUUGGGGUGGAAGGGACCUUAAAGAUCAUAACACCACCUGAUCCUACAAGGGUUGGGGUGGAGGGGACCUUUAGGAUCGUGGCUGCCUGGGAUCCCACAAGGGUUGGGUUUUAGGGAUCUCAAAGACCACAGAACUGUGGGAUCCUACAGCGUUUGGGAUGGAGAGGACCUGUAGGAUCGUGGAACCACAAGAUCCUACAAUGGUUGGGGUGGAAGGGACCUUGAAGAUCAUAACACCACGGCAUCCUACAAGGGUUGGGGUGGGAGGACCUUUAGGAUCGUGGCAAUGUGGGAUCCCACAAG